RNAcentral lists this ribosomal RNA (605 nucleotides) under uncultured fungus. RNAcentral describes it as "eukaryotic LSU rRNA". It matches the Rfam family "Eukaryotic large subunit ribosomal RNA", at positions 40 to 647 of the family's 3401-position model. The record is from RNAcentral. Lineage: Eukaryota; Fungi.
AUAUCAAUAAGCGGAGGAAAAGAAACCAACAGGGAUUGCCUCAGUAACGGCGAGUGAAGCGGCAACAGCUCAAAUUUGAAAUCUGGCUCUUUCAGGGUCCGAGUUGUAAUUUGUAGAAGAUGCUUCGGGUGUGGCUCUGGUCUAAGUUCCUUGGAACAGGACGUCAUAGAGGGUGAGAAUCCCGUAUGUGACUGGUUGCCUUCGCCUAUGUGAAGCUCUUUCGACGAGUCGAGUUGUUUGGGAAUGCAGCUCAAAAUGGGUGGUAAAUUUCAUCUAAAGCUAAAUAUUGGCCAGAGACCGAUAGCGCACAAGUAGAGUGAUCGAAAGGUGAAAAGCACUUUGAAAAGAGAGUGAAAUAGUACGUGAAAUCGUUGCAGGGGAAGCGCUGGUUACCAGUCGCGCACCGGGGGGAUCAGCUGCCGCUUCGGCGUCGGUGUACUCCCUCCGGCUGCGGGUCAGCACCGGCUCUCGCGGCGGGAAAAUUGCCCGGGGAACGUGGCCCGCCCUUCGGGGUGGGUGUUAUAGCCCCGGGCGCAGUACCGCCCGCUGGGGGCCGAGGAUAUUCGCGCCAUUGGCUCGGAUGCUGGCAUAAUGGUCAUCAGCGU